ACAGCAGCAGCCACGGUAAUACGUAGGGUGCAAGCGUUAAUCGGAAUUACUGGGCGUAAAGCGCACGUAGGCGGAUAUUUAAGUCAGGGGUGAAAUCCCAGAGCUCAACUCUGGAACUGCCUUUGAUACUGGGUAUCUUGAGUAUGGAAGAGGUGAGUGGAAUUCCGAGUGUAGAGGUGAAAUUCGUAGAUAUUCGGAGGAACACCAGUGGCGAAGGCGGCUCACUGGUCCAUUACUGACGCUGAGGUGCGAAAGCGUGGGGAGCAAACAGGAUUAGAUACCCCUGUAGUCCCUGUCUCUUAUAC
Molecule: ribosomal RNA, 305 nt
Filed under: uncultured bacterium
Lineage: Bacteria
Description: partial 16S ribosomal RNA
Rfam family: Bacterial small subunit ribosomal RNA
Source: RNAcentral